Molecule: ribosomal RNA, 443 nt
Filed under: uncultured bacterium
Lineage: Bacteria
Description: partial 16S ribosomal RNA
Rfam family: Bacterial small subunit ribosomal RNA
Source: RNAcentral
CCUACGGGAGGCUGCAGUGGGGAAUAUUGGGCAAUGGGCGCAAGCCUGACCCAGCAACGCCGCGUGAAGGAAGAAGGCUUUCGGGUUGUAAACUUCUUUUGUCAGGGACGAAGCUAGUGACGGUACCUGACGAAUCAGCCACGGCUAACUACGUGGCAGCAGCCGCGGUAAGACGUAGGUGGCAAUCGUUAUCCGGAUUUACGGGGUGUAAAGGGCGAGUAGGCGGGGAAGCAAGUCAGAUGUGAAAACCACGGGCUCAACCGGUGGCCUGCAUUUGAAACUGUUUGUCUUGAGUGCUGGAGAGGCAAUCGGAAUUCCGUGUGUAGCGGUGAAAUGCGUAGAUAUACAGAGGAACACCAGUGGCGAAGGCGAAUUGCUGGACAGUAACUGACGCUGAGGCGCGAAAGCGUGGGGAGCAAACAGGAUUAGAUACCCGAGUAGUC